RNAcentral lists this ribosomal RNA (464 nucleotides) under Vreelandella stevensii. Its description in RNAcentral is "partial 16S ribosomal RNA". It matches the Rfam family "Bacterial small subunit ribosomal RNA", at positions 338 to 795 of the family's 1533-position model. Lineage: Bacteria; Pseudomonadati; Pseudomonadota; Gammaproteobacteria; Oceanospirillales; Halomonadaceae. The record is from RNAcentral.
CCUACGGGAGGCUGCAGUGGGGAAUAUUGGACAAUGGGGGCAACCCUGAUCCAGCCAUGCCGCGUGUGUGAAGAAGGCCCUCGGGUUGUAAAGCACUUUCAGUGAGGAAGAACGCCUGGUGGUUAAUACCCAUCAGGAAAGACAUCACUCACAGAAGAAGCACCGGCUAACUCCGUGCCAGCAGCCGCGGUAAUACGGAGGGUGCGAGCGUUAAUCGGAAUUACUGGGCGUAAAGCGCGCGUAGGUGGCUUGAUAAGCCGGUUGUGAAAGCCCGGGCUCAACCUGGGAACGGCAUCCGGAACUGUCAAGCUAGAGUGCAGGAGAGGAAGGUAGAAUUCCCGGUGUAGCGGUGAAAUGCGUAGAGAUCGGGAGGAAUACCAGUGGCGAAGGCGGCCUUCUGGACUGACACUGACACUGAGGUGCGAAAGCGUGGGUAGCAAACAGGAUUAGAUACCCGGGUAGUC